GUCUAUAGCCAUACCACCAUGAAUGUACCUGAUCAUGGAAGCUAAGCAGGGUCAGGCCUGGUUCAGACUUGGAUGGGGGACUGUACAGACACCAUUCUUCUCCUUGGGGAAUCAUAAGAGUCAUGAUUU
RNAcentral lists this ribosomal RNA (129 nucleotides) under Fukomys damarensis (Damara mole-rat). Lineage: Eukaryota; Metazoa; Chordata; Mammalia; Rodentia; Bathyergidae. The record is from RNAcentral.